This 253-nucleotide ribosomal RNA is filed under the name uncultured bacterium. RNAcentral describes it as "partial 16S ribosomal RNA". It matches the Rfam family "Bacterial small subunit ribosomal RNA", at positions 524 to 776 of the family's 1533-position model. The record is from RNAcentral.
UACGGGGGGGGUAAGCGUUGUUCGGAAUUACUGGGCGUAAAGGGCGCGUAGGCGGCCUGUUAAGUCGAACGUGAAAUCCCCGGGCUCAACCCGGGAACUGCGUCCGAUACUGGCAGGCUUGAAUCCGGGAGAGGGAUGCGGAAUUCCAGGUGUAGCGGUGAAAUGCGUAGAUAUCUGGAGGAACACCGGUGGCGAAGGCGGCAUCCUGGACCGGCAUUGACGCUGAGGCGCGAAAGCCAGGGGAGCAAACGGG